AGUGAACGCUGGCGGCAUGCCUAACACAUGCAAGUCGAACGGCAGCACAGUAAGAGUUUUCCUUUACGGGUGGCGAGUGGCGGAUGGGUGAGGAAUAGAUCGCAUACCUCUUAGUCGUGGGGGACUACGGAGAGACACAGAUGCUAAUAGCUAAUAUGUUGUACGGGUGAAAUCAAUAGAGCUUCGCACCUUUGCUGACACAUUUAGCUGGUGCCGGAUUACAUAGUUGGUGGGGUAAGGGCCCACCAAGGCAACGAAACGUAGCUGGUCUGGGAGGAUGAUCAGCCACACUGGAACUGAGACACGGUCCAGACUCCUACGGGAGGCAGCAGUAGGGAAUAUUGCGCAAUGGGCGCAAGCCUGAUCCAGCCAUACCGCGUGGGUGAAGAAGGCCUUCGGGUUGUAAAACCCUUUUGUUGGGAAAGAAAAGCAGCAGGAUAAUACACCGCUGUUCUGACGGUACCCAAAGAAUAAGCACCGGCUAACUUCGUG
Molecule: ribosomal RNA, 492 nt
Filed under: uncultured bacterium
Lineage: Bacteria
Description: partial 16S ribosomal RNA
Rfam family: Bacterial small subunit ribosomal RNA
Source: RNAcentral